This 251-nucleotide ribosomal RNA is filed under the name uncultured bacterium. RNAcentral describes it as "partial 16S ribosomal RNA". It matches the Rfam family "Bacterial small subunit ribosomal RNA", at positions 525 to 775 of the family's 1533-position model. The record is from RNAcentral.
ACGUAUGGUGCAAGCGUUAUCCGGAUUUACUGGGUGUAAAGGGAGCGCAGGCGGUGCGGCAAGUCUGAUGUGAAAGCCCGGGGCUCAACCCCGGUACUGCAUUGGAAACUGUCGUACUAGAGUGUCGGAGGGGUAAGUGGAAUUCCUAGUGUAGCGGUGAAAUGCGUAGAUAUUAGGAGGAACACCAGUGGCGAAGGCGGCUUACUGGACGAUAGCUGACGCUGAGGCUCGAAAGCGUGGGGAGCAAACAG